This 139-nucleotide ribosomal RNA is filed under the name uncultured bacterium. Its description in RNAcentral is "partial 16S ribosomal RNA". It matches the Rfam family "Bacterial small subunit ribosomal RNA", at positions 356 to 509 of the family's 1533-position model. The record is from RNAcentral.
UGGGAAUAUUGGGCAAUGGACGCAAGUCUGACCCAGCAACGCCGCGUGAAGGAAGAAGGCUUUCGGGUUGUAAACUUCUUUUUAAGGGGGAAGAGCAGAAGACGGUACCCCUUGAAUAAGCCACGGCUAACUACGUGCC